CGAAGGGGGCAAGCGUUGUUCGGAUUUACUGGGCGUAAAGGGCGCGCAGGCGGCGCGUCAAGUCGGGUGUGAAAGCCCCGGGCUCAACCUGGGAACUGCACUCGAGACUGACGCGCUAGAGUUCGGGAGAGGAUGGCGGAAUUCCCAGUGUAGAGGUGAAAUUCGUAGAUAUUGGGAAGAACACCGGUGGCGAAGGCGGCCAUCUGGACCGAGACUGACGCUGAGGCGCGAAAGCGUGGGGAGCAAACAGGAUUAGAUACCCUGGUAGUCCACGCCGUAAACGAUGUGUGCUAGACGUCGGGAAGCCUAGCUUUCCGGUGUCGCAGCCAACGCUUUAAGCACACCGCCUGGGGAGUACGGCCGCAAGGUUA
Molecule: ribosomal RNA, 371 nt
Filed under: uncultured organism
Description: bacterial SSU rRNA
Rfam family: Bacterial small subunit ribosomal RNA
Source: RNAcentral